RNAcentral lists this ribosomal RNA (444 nucleotides) under uncultured Bacillota bacterium. RNAcentral describes it as "bacterial SSU rRNA". It matches the Rfam family "Bacterial small subunit ribosomal RNA", at positions 936 to 1382 of the family's 1533-position model. Lineage: Bacteria; Bacillati; Bacillota. The record is from RNAcentral.
AGCAUGUGGUUUAAUUCGAAGCAACGCGAAGAACCUUACCAGGUCUUGACAUCCUUUUGAAUGGUCUAGAGAUAGAUCAGGCCUUCGGGACAGAAGAGACAGGUGGUGCAUGGUUGUCGUCAGCUCGUGUCGUGAGAUGUUGGGUUAAGUCCCGCAACGAGCGCAACCCUUAUCAUUAGUUGCUAACAUUCAGUUGAGAACUCUAAUGAGACUGCCAGUGAUAAACUGGAGGAAGGUGGGAUGACGUCAAAUCAUCAUGCCCCUUAUGACCUGGGCUACACACGUGCUACAAUGGCCGGUACAAAGAGUUGCGAAACUGUGAAGUUAAGCUAAUCUCAUAAAGCCGGUCUCAGUUCGGAUUGUAGUCUGCAACUCGACUACAUGAAGUCGGAAUCGCUAGUAAUCGCGAAUCAGAAUGUCGCGGUGAAUACGUUCUCGAGUCUU